CGGGGUGAGGUAACGGCGUGGGGUACCCUGCCCCUGUACAGGGGGAUAACACAGAGAAAUCUGUGCUAAAAACCGCAUAAGCUCACGGGACCGCAUGGUCUUGGGAGAAAAACUCCGGUGGUACAGGAUGGGCCCGCGUCUGAUUAGCUAGUUGGAGAGGUAAGAGCUCACCAAGGCGACGAUCAGUAGCCGGUCUGAGAGGAUGGACGGCCACAUUGGGACUGAGACACGGCCCAAACUCCUACGGGAGGCAGCAGUGGGGAAUAUUGCACAAUGGGGGAAACCCUGAUGCAGCGAUGCCGCGUGAAGGAAGAAGAUUUUCGGAUUGUAAACUUCUAUCAGCAAGGAAGAAAACGGACAGUACUUGAGUAAGAAGCCCCGGCUAACUACGUGCC
RNAcentral lists this ribosomal RNA (395 nucleotides) under uncultured chicken cecal bacterium. RNAcentral describes it as "bacterial SSU rRNA". It matches the Rfam family "Bacterial small subunit ribosomal RNA", at positions 100 to 509 of the family's 1533-position model. The record is from RNAcentral.